CGGGGGGACGCCUACCAUGCAGUCGAGCGCAAUCCUUCGGGAUCGAGCGGCGGACGGGUUAGUAACGCGUGGGAACAUACCCUUCUCUAAGGAAUAGCCUCGGGAAACUGAGAGUAAUACCUUAUACGCCCUUCGGGGGAAAGAUUUAUCGGAGAGGGAUUGGCCCGCGUAAGAUUAGAUAGUUGGUGGGGUAAUGGCCUACCAAGUCUACGAUCUUUAGCUGGUUUGAGAGGAUGAUCAGCAACACUGGGACUGAGACACGGCCCAGACUCCUACGGGAGGCAGCAGUGGGGAAUCUUAGACAAUGGGCGAAAGCCUGAUCUAGCGAUGCCGCGUGUGUGACGAAGGCCUUAGGGUCGUAAAGCACUUUCGCCAAGGAUAAUAAUGACAGUACUUGGUAAAGAAACCCCGGCUAACUCCGUGCCAGCAGCCGCGGUAAC
Molecule: ribosomal RNA, 440 nt
Filed under: uncultured Octadecabacter sp.
Lineage: Bacteria; Pseudomonadati; Pseudomonadota; Alphaproteobacteria; Rhodobacterales; Roseobacteraceae
Description: bacterial SSU rRNA
Rfam family: Bacterial small subunit ribosomal RNA
Source: RNAcentral